This is a long non-coding RNA of Felis catus (domestic cat), 2888 nucleotides long. RefSeq lists it as uncharacterized. The transcript has 3 exons. Lineage: Eukaryota; Metazoa; Chordata; Mammalia; Carnivora; Felidae. The record is from RefSeq and is a predicted model, not a curated record.
CGGCGGGGUCGGCCGGCGUUGUGCCGGCACACGCAACCGUGUCUUGGCUCAGUGAGUGGUAGCCGCCGUUGUUUCCAGACACAGAGUAACGUGAGGAGGGAUGUGAGACUACCUGCCGUACAGCUGUGGAAGCCCAGGGCAGAGAAUGGUGAAGUCGAAGAAAGGGGCCACAGUCAGAAACACGCGGCUCUCCACACUCCCCUGGAACCGGAUCUUCUGCAGUCCCGUCCUUGUCUAAGCCCAUCAGGAGAGGUGCCGAGAGCUUCUGAGACUGAGCCCCCAACCCCACCCCAGGCGGGACUGGGCACAGAGGCCUGAGGACCCGGGGCCUGCGCUGGGUUGAUGGGAUCACCUGAAUCGAGCCCAGUCUCCUCCUCGGUCAGGUUCAGGAUGUAGGUGUCAGGACUGGAGCAGAAGUCGCUAAGGCCCUGAGAGAAGCAUCAGGAAAAAGGGCUCAGACCAGAAACUUUUCUAGUUCCACACUCGCACAGAACUCAUGUCUGGAUAACAGCCCAGCCCCCAGCCCUGGGAAGCCAGGAGUCCAGGCCCCCAGGCCCAGGAGUCCUGGCCCCCAGCCCCUCCUCCCUCAGACCCAGGAGUCUGGGCCCCUAGCCCCCCCUCCCUUAGAACACGCGUAUCCAAGGCUCUAGCUUCCAGCCCUCAGGAUCUAGACCUCAGAACCUGGGAUCCUGGCCCCAAGUCCUUCCUCUCAGGGUCUGCCCCGGGAUGCAGUAGCCAAGGCUGCUAGCCCCACGUCCCAGGGCCCAGGGGCCUGGCCUGCAGCACUCACCACAGCUGUAGCCGCCUCCAGGCCCAUGGAGCCCCAGCUCAGGACAAGAACCAGGAGACUCAUCACUGCCAUCCUAUAAAGGGGGGGACUCAUCACGGUCCAUCCCAUCACAGCCCCCCUUCCCUACCACCCUCUGGAGCCUGGAGGGGCAGAAAUAGGGGCAGAGAAACUGGGCGGGGGUGGGGAGUGCAGGUUGUAGAUCUGUGGUUGUUGACGUCAAGCUGAACAACUUCAGCUUGCCUCCCCAGGGGUGAGGGGGGAAGACAGUGAGAAGGGGCCUGGGCUGGCAAGCCAGCACCCCAGAUCCCAGCCCGGCUCUGCCCCUGCCUUGCACCGGGAUUCUGGGAGAGCUACCGCCUGCUUCUGGGCUCUUUCCUGGCUUUGAGUUCACAGAAGCCCAGCAAGCCGCAAACGUGCCUCCCGGGUUUGAGCAUAGCUUGGUCAGCCUCCUGCUCUGUCCAGACUCCUCCCCCGAGGAGCGGGGACAUAGCCAAGGCUGAAACUGCAGCCUGAGUUUUCUCUAGGGAUGGGGUCUGGGCGCGAGGGUUAGCACUGGCGGGUGGUCACCGUCCGGAAGCCUCAGGGGGAGCCCGCAUGGGACAGUGGCACUUCUUACCCAGGGUGGGCGUGGAGACCGGGGAGCCCCAGCAGGGCCCCCAGAGGCAGGGAGGAAGCAAGGGCCCCCCUGAGUGGCAUAGGCUGGCCUGAGUCGAACACCAGCUCCAGCAUUCCCUGGCUGUGCAGCCCUGAGCAGGAGGCCCAAACUCUCCGAGCCCCAGUCCCCCCUGUGUCAAAUGGGGAGAAGGAAAGCAUUUCCUCACAGGGUCAGCCUGCAGGUUCCAGAAGAGAGCUGGCCGUAUUUAACGAGCCAUUAAAUCAGAGAGUGGUACUGAGAUUCCCGUGAGCCACACAAUGGCCACGCAGCCUCAGAUGUGGCUGCCUUCUGCCUCGGUCCCUCCUCUGCACGUCAGGUGCCUGAGGGGCCCCUUGAUCACAGGUGGUUGUGUGUGCACGGUCCUCAGCAGAAGUCAGCAAUCACCCCCUUCCUGAGCACGACCGUUACGGGCUUUUGUCUAGGAUUUGGAGCACCCGCGUGGCCUCGAAUCCUGCGUUUCCAGGUCUGCCCUGUGCCUCCCGGGCUGCUCCAGGCCUGGUUUCUCUGCACGCACUGGCCCAGCCCAGGACCCUCGGGGGCAAGCCUGUGGGAUGGGGGCACGAAAGCAGUGCGAGGCUGGGAAGGACAGCAGUGGUCCCUCUCGCAAGAGCGCCAUGGGAUGGAAAGAGGUCCCCUCGUGCUGUGACGUGAGCCCGCCUGCCACGAGGGCGCCUGCUCUUACACGAUCACCAGCCACUUGCUCUGCUUUGCCAGGCCCAGGAGCGUGAAGAGACAGACCAGCAGCUCCAGCAGCAGCAGGAGGACGUAGGCCAGCCACCUGGAGAAGGGACAGAGUGAGACAAAUCCAGCCUUCAGCACCCCGGCUCCCAGGCCAAGACUUGGCACAGGGGGACGGCUCCCCAACAUUCAUGCCCUGCUCUGCCUGACCAUACGGGCCCCCCCCUCCCCAGCUGCCAGGCCCCCGGGCUGCAGCCGGCUCAUCAUGAAACGGGUGCGCUGGGAGGCGGGCCGCCGUAGCCCUUCAGGGCUCAGGUCCCAGGGCCAGGGCACCUGGACCCGUUCCCGGAUGGCAGCGAGCAGAAGCCCGCUAACAGGCACAAGUGAUUGGCCUCCUGGAGCCCCACCUGCCUCCCCAGGCUGCAGGGUGAAGUGAGUCAUUCCCAGGCACGCUGAGUGUCACAUUGCACGGCCUGGGGCUCGGGGCCAGCCUCUCUCUGCCUCCUAGCUGCACGCAACCCUUGUCUCUGGAACUUUGCCUCCUGUGCCUCGGUUUCCCCGCCUGUACCACGGGGGGAGAACAACAGCACCUACUCCAAGAGCUUGUCGCAAGGCUAGUGGGAGAGCACUUAGAAGGGUGCCAAGGGCGCCUGGGUGGCUCAGUCGGUUGAGCGUCCGACUUCGGCUCGGGUCAUGAUCUCACAGUCUGUGAGUUCGAGCCCCAUAUCGGGCUCUGUGCUGAUGGCUCAGAGCCUGGAGCCUGCU